GAUGAAGAACGUAGCGAAAUGCGAUAAGUAAUGUGAAUUGCAGAAUUCAGUGAAUCAUCGAAUCUUUGUACGCACAUUGCGCCCGCCAGUAUUCUGGCGGGCAUGCCUGUUCGAGCGUCAUUUCAACCAUCAAGCCCCAGGCUUGUGUUGGAGCCCUGCGGCUGCCGCAGCCUCCCAAAACCAGUGGCGGGCUCGCUAUCACACCGAGUGCAGUAGUUUACUCUUCGCUCAGGGCGUGUGGCGGGUGCUAGCCGUAAAACCCCCAACUUCUCAAGGUUGACCUCGGAUCAGGUAGGAAUACCCGCUGAACUUAAGCAUAUCAAUAAGCGGAGGA
Molecule: unclassified non-coding RNA, 334 nt
Filed under: soil metagenome
Description: partial contains 5.8S ribosomal RNA, internal transcribed spacer 2, and large subunit ribosomal RNA
Rfam family: 5.8S ribosomal RNA (bases 1-120)
Source: RNAcentral